AGCCCCUCCCUCCCAACCCUACAUACUUCUUCAUAUGCCCAUAGGGAGUCAGCCGGCGUUAUGGAAUGUUAAGAAGUAUGUAUCCUUGGGCUGGGGUCC
This 99-nucleotide non-coding RNA is filed under the name Chrysemys picta bellii (western painted turtle). RNAcentral describes it as "miRNA (ENSCPBG00000018640.1)". The stretch from base 12 to 90 matches the Rfam family "mir-1 microRNA precursor family". From Rfam's summary of the family: This family represents the microRNA (miRNA) mir-1 family. miRNAs are transcribed as ~70nt precursors (modelled here) and subsequently processed by the Dicer enzyme to give a ~22nt product. In this case the mature sequence comes from the 3' arm of the precursor. The extents of the hairpin precursors are not generally known and are estimated based on hairpin prediction. Lineage: Eukaryota; Metazoa; Chordata; Testudines; Emydidae. The record is from RNAcentral. RNAcentral also lists the same sequence under 1 other name.